Molecule: RNA transcript, 2404 nt
Organism: Musa acuminata AAA Group (dessert banana)
Lineage: Eukaryota; Viridiplantae; Streptophyta; Magnoliopsida; Zingiberales; Musaceae
Gene name: probable galacturonosyltransferase 9
Exons: 4
Source: RefSeq, a predicted model, not a curated record
CCGAACAGACUACUUCAUGUAUCCAUGCUGAGGCCCACGCCACCGCCGACAUACGUCAAUGGUCUCGCCGCUUUACGGCACGCCGUUGGGGGCUGCGAUCUCCACCUUCCAUCCCCAAUCCAUCUCCUCGUCGGUGGCCACGGGCCAAAGUGGGCAGCAGUAUAAGAUCUGGUGCUGAGGCCCCUAACUCGCGAAGUGGCGAACCACUGUCGAAAACUGUAAUGGCCGGAGUCCGCUCCGCCCGUCCCGCCACUGGCUUCCGCGCCUUCUUUUCCUACAAGGUCUUCGCCUCCGCCGUAUUCACCCUCCUCUGCCUCGCCGCUGUCUCCGUCCUCCUCUCCUCCUACCCUUCCCACCCGACCGACGCCGCCGCCGUCCCCCGCCGCAGCUUCCUCGCCUCUGACCCCCUCCGCGCCCGCCUCGACCUAAUCUACCGCCAGGCCGCUGAUCACUCCGCCGUUGCCACUGCGUAUGCGGCUUACGCUCGCCGCCUCAAGCUCGACUCCUCUCGCCAGCUCCACGUUUUUGAGGGCCUCGCCGCAGCCUUCUCCGAUCUCUCCGCUCGCCUCGCCGCCCCCAUCGACGACGAGGACGCCUUCCGCCCCCUCGAGAAAGAGGCCAAGGACCGCGUCAAGCUCGCCCGCCAGCUCGUCGGCGAGUCCAAGGAGGCCUUCGACACCCAGAUCAAGAUCCAGAAGCUAAGCGACACCAUCUUCGCGGCCCGCGAGCAGCUCCACCGUUCCAAGAAGCUCGGUACACUCGCCGGAUCCAUCGCCGCCGGAUCCACUCCCAAGAGCCUCCACUGCCUCGCCAUGCGUCUCAUGGAGGAGAGGAUCGCUCACCCCGAGCCCUACCGCCGCGCCACCGCCGCGGCCCCGUCCGAUCUCGCCGACCCCGAUCUCUACCACUACGCCAUCUUCUCCGACAACGUGAUUGCCGUCUCCGUGGCUGUCAACUCCGCCAUCAAGAACGCGGAGGAGCCCUGGAAGCACGUGUUCCAUGUCGUCACCGACCCCAUGUACCUGCCCGCCAUGCAGGUCUGGUUCGUCCGCCGCCCACCGGCUGGCGGCGCCAAGGUGGAGGUGAGGUCUGUCGCGGACUUUGGGUUCUUGAACGCUUCUUAUUCGCCAGUGGUCCGGCUGGUUGAGGGUGGGCGGGGUGACCUGUCGGUGCUCAACCAUCUGAGGUUCUACCUGCCCGAAAUAUUCCCUAAGCUGAGGCGAAUUGUGCUCUUGGAGGACGAUGUAGUGGUGCAGAAGGAUCUGGCACAACUGUGGAGGCUCGAUAUGGAUGGGAAGGUGAACGGGGCUGUCGAAACUUGCUUCGGUGGGUUCAGGAGGUACAACAGGUAUUUGAACUUCUCGAAUCAUGAAAUCCGGGAUCGAUUCAGCCCCAGAACAUGUGCCUGGGCCUAUGGGGUGAACGUCUUUGACCUCGGUGCAUGGAGGAGAGAGGGAUGCACCGAGCAAUUCCAUCAGUACCAGAGAAUGAAUGAGGAUGGAACUCUCUGGAACCCAUCAUCUGUGCUUUCAGCAGGACUAGUCACCUUCUACACUACCACAAAGCCACUGGAUAAGAAUUGGCAUGUUAUGGGCCUUGGUUAUAAUCCAAGUGUAAGUGUUGAUGAGAUUCAGAAUGCAGCUGUAAUACACUUUGAUGGGAACAUGAAACCAUGGCUCGAUGUGGCCCUGAACCAAUACAAGCAUCUCUGGACGAAGUACGUUGACACCGAAAUGGACUUCCUCCAGCUCUGCAACUUUGGCCUCUAAUUCAUAAGACCAUGAAGCCUUGCCUACUUGAGGAUUUCAAAAACCUGAUUGUAACGCUGUUCAGAAUUGGUGGUUUUGUGUAGGGAUCACAUACUUUGGUUUAUUAUGAUGCCAAAGGGCACCCACGGAACACACAGCUCUAGUUUACUUCUGAUACUGGAGACAUCUAAUCUUUGGUUCAUUCUAUCUGCUACACAAUUAGUCAUUGAAGUAACCAACACAAUGGUCAGUACUGAGAGCAUAUCCUUUUCUAUGUUAUUUGUUGGUCAUCUGACCCUUGUAGCUACGCACAGUUCGAGGCAUUCUCUGUGGGAAGCUUAUGAUUUCCAUGUCAGUCUGAAGGUGGCCCCUAAUGCCUGGAAUCUCUAAUGAGGAGGGAGCUUCCCUUGUCACCCUUUUUCAAAGGUAGGAGGCCUCGGAUGCCAUUCAUUCCGUUAGGUAUGAUAAAAAAGAGUCCUAAGCUCAGAUGACUAUAUUGUUGAAUUCUAUAGAGGAUGUUGAGAGAUUAUGUCUGAUCUUUUGUGUUUUAUUCCAACACUCAAAUCUAGUUUUUCACACUUUAUUGGUAAUGGAGAAUAUGUUAGUUUGAUGUUUGACAAUUUGGCUUUUUGAAAUUUAUGUUACCUUUAAAUCAA